Molecule: small nucleolar RNA, 115 nt
Filed under: Echinops telfairi (small Madagascar hedgehog)
Lineage: Eukaryota; Metazoa; Chordata; Mammalia; Afrosoricida; Tenrecidae
Description: Small nucleolar RNA SNORA61 (ENSETEG00000026339.1)
Source: RNAcentral
CCCCUUUUCUCACCCAUCAGCUCUAAACACUGGACCGAGUGGUUAUACAAGGAGGAAAAGUAACACCGAAACUGACUUCAGUUCUUCUGUGACACACAGUUAAUUUAAAAGAAUU